RNAcentral lists this long non-coding RNA (373 nucleotides) under Hordeum vulgare. RNAcentral's name for it is "long non-coding RNA (HVUL_LNC018001)". Lineage: Eukaryota; Viridiplantae; Streptophyta; Magnoliopsida; Poales; Poaceae. The record is from RNAcentral.
AAGGUAAACUCUGUUGAGGAGAUCUCCUCCCUUAAUGAUAAGGUUGACAUGAUCAUGACUUUACUUACUAUGAAAGCUCCUAUUGAUCCUCAUGAUGUUCCUUUAAAUUCUUUGGUUUCUCAAGAAAGAGAGCAAGUGGAUGUUAAUUUUAUUCCUAGGAACAACUUUAACAACAAUGCUUAUAGGAGUAAUUUUGGUAGCAAUCCUAGACCGUUCCCAUCCAGCAACUAUGGGAACAACAACAAUUAUCGUAGCACCAAAAACUCCACUUCUGAAUUAGAGAGCAUGCUUAAGGAUUUUAUCACUUCUCAAAAAGGCUUCAACAAGAGUGUAGAAGAGAAACUAGAGAAAUUAGAUAGUCUCUCUUUAAAGG